AGUGAACGCUGGCGGUAGGCCUAACACAUGCCAGUCGAACGGCAGCACAGUAAGAGCUUGCUCUUACGGGUGGCGAGUGGCGGACGGGUGAGGAAUACAUCGGAAUCUACUUUUUCGUGGGGGAUAACGUAGGGAAACUUACGCUAAUACCGCAUACGACCUACGGGUGAAAGCAGGGGAUCUUCGGACCUUGCGCGAUUGAAUGAGCCGAUGUCGGAUUAGCUAGUUGGCGGGGUAAAGGCCCACCAAGGCGAGGAUCCGUAGCUGGGCUGAGAGGAUGAUCAGCCACACUGGAACUGAGACACGGUACAGACUCCUACGAGGGGCAACAGUGGGGAAUAUUGGACAACGGGCGCAAGCCUGUUCCAGCCAUACCGCGUGGGUGAAGAAGGCGUUCGGGUUGUAAGGCCUUUUUGUUGGGAAAGAAAAGCAUCAGGUUAAUACCCCGCUGUUCUGACGGUACCCUAAGAAUAAGCACCGGCUAACUUCGUG
RNAcentral lists this ribosomal RNA (492 nucleotides) under uncultured bacterium. Its description in RNAcentral is "partial 16S ribosomal RNA". It matches the Rfam family "Bacterial small subunit ribosomal RNA", at positions 29 to 507 of the family's 1533-position model. The record is from RNAcentral.